UACGUAGGGGGCAAGCGUUGUCCGGAAUCAUUGGGCGUAAAGAGCGCGUAGGCGGUCCGGUAAGUCCGCUCUGAAAGUCCGGGGCUCAACCCCGGGAGGCGGGCGGAUACUGUCGGGCUAGAGUCCGGAAGAGGCGAGUGGAAUUCCUGGUGUAGCGGUGAAAUGCGCAGAUAUCAGGAGGAACACCAAUGGCGAAGGCAGCUCGCUGGGACGGUACUGACGCUGAGGCGCGAAGGCGUGGGGAGCAAACAGG
Molecule: ribosomal RNA, 253 nt
Filed under: uncultured bacterium
Lineage: Bacteria
Description: partial 16S ribosomal RNA
Rfam family: Bacterial small subunit ribosomal RNA
Source: RNAcentral